AUUGAACGCUGGCGGCAUGCCUUACACAUGCAAGUCGAACGGCAGCGGGCCUUCGGGUGCCGGCGAGUGGCGAACGGGUGAGUAAUGCAUCGGAACGUGCCAUUGAGUGGGGGAUAACGUAGCGAAAGUUACGCUAAUACCGCAUAUUCUGUGAGCAGGAAAGCAGGGGACCGCAAGGCCUUGCGCUCUUUGAGCGGCCGAUGUCAGAUUAGCUAGUUGGUGAGGUAAAGGCUUACCAAGGCGACGAUCUGUAGCGGGUCUGAGAGGAUGAUCCGCCACACUGGAACUGAGACACGGUCCAGACUCCUACGGGAGGCAGCAGUGGGGAAUUUUGGACAAUGGGCGCAAGCCUGAUCCAGCCAUGCCGCUGGAGUGAAGAAGGCC
This 384-nucleotide ribosomal RNA is filed under the name uncultured bacterium. Its description in RNAcentral is "bacterial SSU rRNA". It matches the Rfam family "Bacterial small subunit ribosomal RNA", at positions 30 to 416 of the family's 1533-position model. The record is from RNAcentral.